Molecule: ribosomal RNA, 416 nt
Filed under: uncultured bacterium
Lineage: Bacteria
Description: bacterial SSU rRNA
Rfam family: Bacterial small subunit ribosomal RNA
Source: RNAcentral
GACGAACGCUGGCGGCGUGCUUAAUACAUGCAAGUCAACUUGACUUUAGAUAGCAAUAUCGAAAAGUAGGGUGGCGCACGGGUGCGUAACGCGUAGGUAAUCUGCCCUGAGGUCUGACAUAACCCGUCGAAAGGCGGCUAACAUCAGAUGAUAUAUAAUCACGACAUCGUGGAAAUAUCAAAUCUUCGGAGCCUUGGGAUGAGCCUGCGUCUGAUUAGGUAGUUGGCGGAGUAAUAGCCCACCAAGCCUACGAUCAGUAGCUGGUCUGAGAGGAUGAUCAGCCACACUGGAACUGAGACACGGUCCAGACUCCUACGGGAGGCAGCAGUAAGGAAUAUUGCUCAAUGGGGGAAACCCUAGAAGCAGCAACGACCGCGUGAAGGAUGAAAUACUUUUGUAUGUAAACUUACUGUAAG